Molecule: unclassified non-coding RNA, 747 nt
Filed under: Hevea brasiliensis (rubber tree)
Lineage: Eukaryota; Viridiplantae; Streptophyta; Magnoliopsida; Malpighiales; Euphorbiaceae
Source: RNAcentral
AGAUGAUCGAAUUGGAAGAUGAAGAGAAAUUAUCAUUAUUAAUACUCUUCAGAAAAUCCAAACCAGCUAAAACGGAUUCUCAACAAAGUGAAAACACCAAUGGAUUAUAGUUGAUAAAAUGAUCCCUUUUCAAGUGGCUGCAAAUCCUCUGCGAUUCCCAACAACAAACCUCUCCUUCACCGCCUGCUUCGCAUGUUGAUCCCACAAGCUACAUCCAUCAAGUUGAACCGUUAACUUGAAGGGUGCAACAUCGGUAGCCAGCCACUGAUUAACAUAGAAGAUGGUCUGGCUGCACUCCUUGUGAGGCCCAGUGGAGGUGACCUCGAUGUAAUCACAGUACCAGCCAUGGUGCGACCCUGAGCCAUCAGAGGUCAAGUUGAGGCGGCAGACGGGUGAGCCGAUGCAGGGGCCGCGGCCGCUAAAGAUAUCGAGGUUACCACGCUCAUAGUAGUCGUGGGAGGGUCCCAUUAGGCCCCAGGAUUGAAGGUCUGGGAACCAAACAGAGCGGCCUUGUGGAUCACCGAGGGCCACGCUGAUCUUGGAAUCGGUUCCAGCCUUGAUGAUGGAUCCGGUCUUGACGUAGAGGGUGUAAACGCAUUCGUCGCUAUGAUCUCCAGCAGCAGCAGAGAUGAGCGCGAUCAAGAGUACUGUGGUGUAGAGACUCUUCUUCAUUUCUUUAUCUGCCUCACAGCUUUGGACUUUGUGAACUACGAGUAGAUUUUUGGGGCGUGAUUUGAAGGCUUAAUU